This 549-nucleotide ribosomal RNA is filed under the name uncultured Glomus. Its description in RNAcentral is "SSU rRNA". It matches the Rfam family "Eukaryotic small subunit ribosomal RNA", at positions 548 to 1098 of the family's 1831-position model. The record is from RNAcentral. Lineage: Eukaryota; Fungi; Glomeromycota; Glomeromycetes; Glomerales; Glomeraceae.
UUGGAGGGCAAGUCUGGUGCCAGCAGCCGCGGUAAUUCCAGCUCCAAUAGCGUAUAUUAAAGUUGUUGCAGUUAAAAAGCUCGUAGUUGAAUUUCGGGGUUAGUAGUUUGGUCGUGCCAAUGGUAUGUACUGGGCUCACUGAUUCCUCCUUCCUGAUGAACUGUAAUGCCAUUAAUUUGGUGUUGCAGGGAAACAGGACUGUUACUUUGAAAAAAUUAGAGUGUUUAAAGCAAGCUAACGCUUGAAUACAUUAGCAUGGAAUAAUGAAAUAGGACGUUCGAACCUAUUUUGUUGGUUUCUAGGAUUGACGUAAUGAUUAAUAGGGAUAGUUGGGGGCAUUAGUAUUCAAUUGUCAGAGGUGAAAUUCUUGGAUUUAUUGAAGACUAACUACUGCGAAAGCAUUUGCCAAGGAUGUUUUCGUUAAUCAAGAACGAAAGUUAGGGGAUCGAAGACGAUCAGAUACCGUCGUAGUCUUAACCAUAAACUAUGCCGACUAGGGAUCGGAUGAUGUUAAUUUUUUAAUGACUCAUUCGGCGCCUUACGGGAAAC